Molecule: ribosomal RNA, 253 nt
Filed under: uncultured bacterium
Lineage: Bacteria
Description: partial 16S ribosomal RNA
Rfam family: Bacterial small subunit ribosomal RNA
Source: RNAcentral
UACGUAGGGGGCAAGCGUUGCUCGGAAUUACUGGGCGUAAAGCGCGUGUAGGCGGCUAAGCAAGUCGGGCGUGAAAUCCCACCGCUCAACGGUGGAAGUGCACCCGAAACUGCAUAGCUAGAGUCCUGGAGAGGAAGGUGGAAUGCUUGGUGUAGAGGUGAAAUUCGUAGAUAUCAAGCGGAACACCGGUGGCGAAGGCGGCCUUCUGGACAGUGACUGACGCUGAGACGCGAAAGCGUGGGGAGCAAACAGG